RNAcentral lists this transfer RNA (21 nucleotides) under Paracyprichromis brieni. RNAcentral describes it as "partial tRNA-Pro". Lineage: Eukaryota; Metazoa; Chordata; Actinopteri; Cichliformes; Cichlidae. The record is from RNAcentral. RNAcentral also lists the same sequence under 5 other names.
CCUAAUUUAGACUAUUCUUUG